Molecule: ribosomal RNA, 379 nt
Filed under: uncultured eukaryote
Lineage: Eukaryota
Description: partial 18S ribosomal RNA
Rfam family: Eukaryotic small subunit ribosomal RNA
Source: RNAcentral
CAAUAGCGUAUAUUUAAGUUGUUGCAGUUAAAAAGCUCGUAGUUGGAUUUCGGAUGGGCUUGACCGGUCCGCCGUUUGGUGUGCACUGGUCGUGCCUAUCUUGCUGCCGGGGACGCGCUCCUGGCCUUAAUUGGCUGGGACGCGGAGUCGGCGAUGUUACUUUGAAAAAAUUAGAGUGUUCAAAGCAGGCCUAAGCUCUGAAUACAUUAGCAUGGAAUAACGCUACAGGACUCUGGUCUUAUUGCGUUGGUCUUCGAGACCGGGGUAAUGAUUAAGAGGGACAGUUGGGGGCAUUCGUAUUUCAUUGUCAGAGGUGAAAUUCUUGGAUUUAUGAAAGACGAACUUCUGCGAAAGCAUUUGCCAAGGAUGUUUUCAUUAA